CCCCUCUCAGGAUCUCACCUGGAGAGUCCCUAAUACUCUACCAGUCCAGGCUAUGGGAGGGAGAGUCAAAGCAGAGACAUACCCAUACCAUUCCUUGCUGGCCAGUGGCUAGUGAGUGGAAGGCAAUCUGCUACAAGU
This is a small nucleolar RNA of Tachyglossus aculeatus (Australian echidna), 138 nucleotides long. The record is from RefSeq and is a predicted model, not a curated record. Lineage: Eukaryota; Metazoa; Chordata; Mammalia; Monotremata; Tachyglossidae.